AUACUUACUUGGAUGGGGUCUAUGGAUGAUCAAGAUGACCUAUGAUCUACCCCAAUGACUUCUAUUGCACUUUGGAGGGGUAUUGGUCUACCAUUUCUCUAAAUUGGGAAAGUGGAUGUCAUAAUUUGUGGUAGUGGGGGUACGCGUUCACGCAGCCCCUGC
Zingiber officinale is the source of this 162-nucleotide small nuclear RNA. RefSeq annotates it as U1 spliceosomal RNA. The record is from RefSeq and is a predicted model, not a curated record. The transcript has a single exon. Lineage: Eukaryota; Viridiplantae; Streptophyta; Magnoliopsida; Zingiberales; Zingiberaceae.